AUACUUACCUGGCAGGGGAGAUACCAUGAUCAGGAAGGUGGUUUUCCCAGGGCGAGGCUUCUCCAUUGCACUGCGGAGAGGCUGACCCCUGCGAUUUCCCCAAAUGUGGGAAACUCGACUGCAUAAUUUGUGGUAGUGGGGACUGCGUUCGCGCUCUCCCUG
RNAcentral lists this small nuclear RNA (162 nucleotides) under Marmota monax (woodchuck). RNAcentral's name for it is "U1 spliceosomal RNA". It matches the Rfam family "U1 spliceosomal RNA". Rfam says of the family: U1 is a small nuclear RNA (snRNA) component of the spliceosome (involved in pre-mRNA splicing). Lineage: Eukaryota; Metazoa; Chordata; Mammalia; Rodentia; Sciuridae. The record is from Rfam by way of RNAcentral.